Molecule: ribosomal RNA, 560 nt
Filed under: Yersinia sp. (in: enterobacteria)
Lineage: Bacteria; Pseudomonadati; Pseudomonadota; Gammaproteobacteria; Enterobacterales; Yersiniaceae
Also listed under: 3 other names
Description: bacterial SSU rRNA
Rfam family: Bacterial small subunit ribosomal RNA
Source: RNAcentral
AGGGGGAUAACUACUGGAAACGGUAGCUAAUACCGCAUGACCUCGCAAGAGCAAAGUGGGGGACCUUCGGGCCUCACGCCAUCGGAUGUGCCCAGAUGGGAUUAGCUAGUAGGUGAGGUAAUGGCUCACCUAGGCGACGAUCCCUAGCUGGUCUGAGAGGAUGACCAGCCACACUGGAACUGAGACACGGUCCAGACUCCUACGGGAGGCAGCAGUGGGGAAUAUUGCACAAUGGGCGCAAGCCUGAUGCAGCCAUGCCGCGUGUGUGAAGAAGGCCUUAGGGUUGUAAAGCACUUUCAGCGAGGAGGAAGGGUUCAGUGUUAAUAGCACUGANCAUUGACGUUACUCGCAGAAGAAGCACCGGCUAACUCCGUGCCAGCAGCCGCGGUAAUACGGAGGGUGCAAGCGUUAAUCGGAAUUACUGGGCGUAAAGCGCACGCAGGCGGUUUGUUAAGUCAGAUGUGAAAUCCCCGAGCUUAACUUGGGAACUGCAUUUGAAACUGGCAAGCUAGAGUCUUGUAGAGGGGGGUAGAAUUCCAGGUGUAGCGGUGAAAUGCGUA